CCACCAUCACCCUGCAGCUUUGGGACACUGCAGGACAGGAGAGGUUUCGCAGCAUCACUGAGCAGUACUAUCGAAAAGCCGACGGUAUCCUUGCCAUGUAUGACAUAACUCAAUCCUCCUCUUUUGCCGCUGUGAGAGGGUGGAUUGACUCUGUGAAGGAGAAGAUGUGUGAAGGUGCGGUACUGAUGCUGCUGGCAAACAAGCUGGACUUGGCAGACAGUCACAGCAGAGACGUGACAACCAACGAGGGGCAGAGACUAGCAGAG
Long non-coding RNA from Etheostoma spectabile (orangethroat darter), 266 nucleotides. RefSeq lists it as uncharacterized. The record is from RefSeq and is a predicted model, not a curated record. The transcript is spliced from 3 exons. Lineage: Eukaryota; Metazoa; Chordata; Actinopteri; Perciformes; Percidae.